AACUUAAGCAUAUCAAU
Molecule: ribosomal RNA, 17 nt
Filed under: Graphium carbonarium
Lineage: Eukaryota; Fungi; Ascomycota; Sordariomycetes; Microascales; Graphiaceae
Also listed under: 1 other name
Description: partial 28S ribosomal RNA
Source: RNAcentral